AGCAGCCGCGGUAAUUCCAGCUCCAAUAGCGUAUAUUAAAGUUGUUGCAGUUAAAAAGCUCGUAGUUGAACUUCGGGGUCUACCCAUUGGUCAGGCUUUUGUCUGCACUGGUGAGACGGAUCUCUACCUUCUGAGGAACUUUCAUGCCAUUUAUUUGGUGUGGUUGGAAAUCAGGACUGUUACUUUGAAAAAAUUGAGUGUUUAAAGCAGACUAUCGUCUGAAUACAUUAGCAUGGAAUAAUGAAAUAGGACGGACUGAUUCUAUUUCGUUGGUUUCUAGGAUCACCGUAAUGAUUAAUAGGGAUAGUUGGGGGCAUUAGUAUUCAAUUGUCAGAGGUGAAAUUCUUGGAUUUUAUUGAAGACUAACUACUGCGAAAGCAUUUGCCAAGGAUGUUUU
Molecule: ribosomal RNA, 397 nt
Filed under: uncultured Glomeromycotina
Lineage: Eukaryota; Fungi; Glomeromycota
Description: SSU rRNA
Rfam family: Eukaryotic small subunit ribosomal RNA
Source: RNAcentral